CCGCGGUGAAUACGUUCCCGGGCCUUGUACACACCGCCCGUCACACCACGAAAGUCUGUCAAACCAGAAGUCAUCGGGUUUUCCGAUGCCGAAGGUUGGGCCGGUAAUUGGGGUG
This 115-nucleotide ribosomal RNA is filed under the name uncultured bacterium. Its description in RNAcentral is "partial 16S ribosomal RNA". It matches the Rfam family "Bacterial small subunit ribosomal RNA", at positions 1357 to 1482 of the family's 1533-position model. The record is from RNAcentral.